AGCGAACGCUGGCGGCAGGCUUAACACAUGCAAGUCGAACGCCCCGCAAGGGGAGUGGCAGACGGGUGAGUAACACGUGGGAACGUACCCUUUGGUUCGGAAUAACUUGGGGAAACUCAAGCUAAUACCGGAUAAGCCCUUAUGGGGAAAGGUUUACUGCCGAAGGAUCGGCCCGCGUCUGAUUAGCUAGUUGGUGAGGUAAUGGCUCACCAAGGCGACGAUCAGUAGCUGGUCUGAGAGGAUGAUCAGCCACACUGGGACUGAGACACGGCCCAGACUCCUACGGGAGGCAGCAGUGGGGAAUAUUGGACAAUGGGGGCAACCCUGAUUCAGCCAUGCCGCGUGAGUGAUGAAGGCCUUAGGGUUGUAAAGCUCUUUUACCCGGGACGAUAAUGACUGUACCGGGAGAAUAGGCCCCGGCUAACUUCGUGCCAGCCGCCGCAGUAA
RNAcentral lists this ribosomal RNA (447 nucleotides) under uncultured bacterium. RNAcentral's name for it is "partial 16S ribosomal RNA". It matches the Rfam family "Bacterial small subunit ribosomal RNA", at positions 29 to 523 of the family's 1533-position model. The record is from RNAcentral.